This 267-nucleotide non-coding RNA is filed under the name Evansella cellulosilytica. Its description in RNAcentral is "Bacillus cellulosilyticus T-box sequence". It matches the Rfam family "T-box leader". Rfam says of the family: Uncharged tRNA acts as the effector for transcription antitermination of genes in the T-box leader family. Lineage: Bacteria; Bacillati; Bacillota; Bacilli; Caryophanales; Bacillaceae. The record is from RNAcentral.
UUAAAAACGAAGAUAGGGAAGAGUACAUCUUGAGCCCAUCAGAGAGGGAAACCAUCGAAAUAUCGAUGCUGAAAGGUUUCCUUGGAGGUAGAGGUGGAAGGUCGCCCUUGAGUUGUUAUCGUGAACACAUUGUCAUUAGCGAUAGCCGGUUCAGCACCGUUAAAGCCGUGAGUGUACAAUCUAUAGACGGGGUUUUAAUUAAUGCCCACUAUUUUGAUUGUAAACAAAGGUGGUACCGCGAGGAAUAUAACUCCCUUCGUCCUUUGA